CCUGGUGGUGCACGUCCCCAACCUUAUGUGGAUUUCCUAAAUUCUGCAAAAAAGGUUUGGAAGCCGAUCAAUCAAUACUGGAACUCCCUCUUCUCCAGAAGAGACAUCCUGGCCUCCAUGCUGAGGAAUGUGUGGAUGGACAUAUAUUUAAGGAAGACACUAAACCAGAAACUACUACAUUACACCCUCUUAGAAGACUUCUAAGAUUGUUGUCAUGCCUACCACAGACAUUCAGAUGAUGUGUAUUGUUGAUUGUGAUUUCAUGUUUGGACCUGAUGAAGGAGUUUGAAGUCUCCAGAGCAGCAAAGAGAGUGGGGAGUAGAACUCAUCAUCUUUAGGUCACUCAUCAUCG
RNAcentral lists this long non-coding RNA (352 nucleotides) under Mus musculus (house mouse). RNAcentral's name for it is "predicted gene 28834". The record is from RNAcentral. Lineage: Eukaryota; Metazoa; Chordata; Mammalia; Rodentia; Muridae.